RNAcentral lists this ribosomal RNA (264 nucleotides) under uncultured bacterium. RNAcentral describes it as "partial 16S ribosomal RNA". The record is from RNAcentral.
CUGCUGCCUUCCGUAGGAGUUUGGACCGUGUCUCAGUUCCAAUGUGGGGGACCUUCCUCUCAGAACCCCUAUCCAUCGUCGUCUUGGUGGGCCGUUACCCCGCCAACUAACUAAUGGAACGCAUCCCCAUCGAUAACCGAAAUUCUUUAAUAUCAAGAUCAUGCGAUCUUGAUAUCCUAUCGGAUAUUAAUCUUUCUUUCGAAAGGCUAUCCCCGAGUUAUCGGCAGGUUGGAUACGUGUUACUCACCCGUGCGCCGGUCGCCA